CCUACGGGUGGCUGCAGUGAGGAAUAUUGGUCAAUGGACGAGAGUCUGAACCAGCCACGUAGCGUGAAGGAUGACUGCCCUAUGGGUUGUAAACUUCUUUUAUAUGGGAAUAAAAUGUUCCACGUGUGGGAUUUUGUCUGUACCAUAUGAAUAAGGAUCGGCUAACUCCGUGCCAGCAGCCGCGGUAAUACGGAGGAUCCGAGCGUUAUCCGGAUUUAUUGGGUUUAAAGGGAGCGUAGGUGGAUGGGUAAGUCAGUUGUGAAAGUUUGCGGCUCAACCGUAGAAUUGCAGUGGAAACUGGCAGUCUUGAGUGCAGUAGAGGUGAGCGGAAUUCGUGGUGUAGCGGUGAAAUGCUUAGAUAUCACGAAGAACUCCGAUGGCGAAGGCAGUUCACUGGACUGCAACUGACACUGAGGCUCGAAAGUGUGGGUAUCAAACAGGAUUAGAUACCCUUGUAGUC
RNAcentral lists this ribosomal RNA (460 nucleotides) under uncultured bacterium. RNAcentral's name for it is "partial 16S ribosomal RNA". It matches the Rfam family "Bacterial small subunit ribosomal RNA", at positions 338 to 795 of the family's 1533-position model. The record is from RNAcentral.